Molecule: ribosomal RNA, 512 nt
Filed under: uncultured bacterium
Lineage: Bacteria
Description: bacterial SSU rRNA
Rfam family: Bacterial small subunit ribosomal RNA
Source: RNAcentral
GGUGAACGCUAGCGGCAGGCCUAACACAUGCAAGUCGAACGGUAAGUGGGGAGCUUGCUCCCUACACGAGUGGCGCACGGGUGAGUAACGCGUAUGCAAUCUGCCUCCAACUGGAGAAUAGCCCCCCGAAAGGGGGAUUAAUACUCCAUGGCACUGCACUUCCGCAUGGUAGUGCAGUUAAAGCUUCGGCGGUUGGAGAUGAGCAUGCGUCCCAUUAGUUAGUUGGCGAGGUAACGGCUCACCAGGACAUCGAUGGGUAGGGGGCCUGAGAGGGUUAUCCCCCACACUGGUACUGAGACACGGACCAGACUCCUACGGGAGGCAGCAGUGAGGAAUAUUGGUCAAUGGACGGAAGUCUGAACCAGCCAUGCCGCGUGCAGGAUGACGGCCCUACGGGUUGUAAACUGCUUUUAUAUGGGAAGAAACCCCCGACGUGUUGGGGGCUGACGGUACCAUAGGAAUAAGGACCGGCUAACUCCGUGCCAGCAGCCGCGGUAAUACGGAGGGUACCG